RNAcentral lists this ribosomal RNA (574 nucleotides) under uncultured bacterium. Its description in RNAcentral is "partial 16S ribosomal RNA". It matches the Rfam family "Bacterial small subunit ribosomal RNA", at positions 355 to 920 of the family's 1533-position model. The record is from RNAcentral.
UGGGGAAUUUUGGACAAUGGGCGAAAGCCUGAUCCAGCAAUGCCGCGUGUGUGAAGAAGGCCUUCGGGUUGUAAAGCACUUUUGUCCGGAAAGAAAUCCUUGGCUCUAAUACAGUCGGGGGAUGACGGUACCGGAAGAAUAAGCACCGGCUAACUACGUGCCAGCAGCCGCGGUAAUACGUAGGGUGCAAGCGUUAAUCGGAAUUACUGGGCGUAAAGCGUGCGCAGGCGGUUUGCUAAGACCGAUGUGAAAUCCCCGGGCUCAACCUGGGAACUGCAUUGGUGACUGGCAGGCUAGAGUAUGGCAGAGGGGGGUAGAAUUCCACGUGUAGCAGUGAAAUGCGUAGAGAUGUGGAGGAAUACCGAUGGCGAAGGCAGCCCCCUGGGGCCAACACUGACGCUCAUGCACGAAAGCGUGGGGAGCAAACAGGAUUAGAUACCCUGGUAGUCCACGCCCUAAACGAUGUCAACUAGUUGUUGGGGAUUCAUUUCCUUAGUAAACGUAGCUAACGCGUGAAGUUGACCGCCUGGGGAGUACGGUCGCAAGAUUAAAACUCAAAGGAAUUGACGGGGUC